CGUGAGGAAUACCGGCGAGAAAUCGCCGACAAGACCGCAUAGGCUUCUCUUUCUUAGCAGGGAGGGAAGCAAAGCCUGCACUCGCAAGAGCGUGGGUGCUUGGGGAUGGGCCUGCGGCCGAUUAGCUGGUUGGUGAGGUAAAAGCUCACCAAGGCGACGAUCGGUAGCUGGUCUGAGAGGACGAUCAGCCACGCUGGGAUUGAGAACGGCCCAG
Molecule: ribosomal RNA, 214 nt
Filed under: uncultured bacterium
Lineage: Bacteria
Description: partial 16S ribosomal RNA
Rfam family: Bacterial small subunit ribosomal RNA
Source: RNAcentral